UACGUAGGGGGCUAGCGUUGUCCGGAUUUAUUGGGCGUAAAGAGCUCGUAGGCGGUUCGGUAAGUCGGGUGUGAAAUCUCCACGCUCAACGUGGAGGGGCCACCCGAUACUGCCAUGACUCGAGUCCGGUAGGGGAGUGUGGAAUUCCCGGUGUAGCGGUGAAAUGCGCAGAUAUCGGGAGGAACACCCGUAGCGAAGGCGGCACUCUGGACCGGUACUGACGCUGAGGAGCGAAAGCGUGGGUAGCAAACAGG
Molecule: ribosomal RNA, 254 nt
Filed under: uncultured bacterium
Lineage: Bacteria
Description: partial 16S ribosomal RNA
Rfam family: Bacterial small subunit ribosomal RNA
Source: RNAcentral